AUUGAACGCUGGCGGCAUGCCUUACACAUGCAAGUCAAACGGCAGCACGGGUGCUUGCACCUGGUGGCGAGUGGCGAACGGGUGAGUAAUACAUCGGAACGUACCUUAUCGUGGGGGAUAACGCAGCGAAAGCUGUGCUAAUACCGCAUACGCCCUGAGGGGGAAAGCGGGGGAUCGAUAGACCUCGCGCGAUUAGAGCGGCCGAUGCCUGAUUAGCUUGUUGGUGGGGUAAAAGCCCACCAAGGCGACGAUCAGUAGCUGGUCUGAGAGGACGAUCAGCCACACUGGGACUGAGAGACGGCCCAGACUCCUACGGGAGGCAGCAGUGGGGAAUUUUGGACAAUGGGGGCAACCCUGAUCCAGCAAUGCCGCGUGAGUGAAGAAGGCCUUCGGGUUGUAAAGCUCUUUUGUCAGGGAAGGAACACCGGCUCUAACACAGUCCGGGAAUGACGGUACCUGAAGAAUAAGCACCGGCUAACUACGUGCCAGCCGCCGCGGUAA
Molecule: ribosomal RNA, 501 nt
Filed under: uncultured bacterium
Lineage: Bacteria
Description: partial 16S ribosomal RNA
Rfam family: Bacterial small subunit ribosomal RNA
Source: RNAcentral